RNAcentral lists this ribosomal RNA (288 nucleotides) under uncultured bacterium. RNAcentral describes it as "partial 16S ribosomal RNA". It matches the Rfam family "Bacterial small subunit ribosomal RNA", at positions 28 to 314 of the family's 1533-position model. The record is from RNAcentral.
GAUGAACGCUAGCGGCAGGCCUAAUACAUGCAAGCCGAACGGCAAGAUUGAUAGCAAUAUUGAUCCUAGAGUGGCGUAAGGGUGCGUAACACGUAUGCAAUCCUACCCUCAACAGGAGGAUAGCUCCCCGAAAGGGGAUUAAGACUCCAUAAGAUCAUUUGGUGGCAUCAUUGAAUGAUUAAACUUCCAGGGGUUGAGGAUGAGCAUGCGCCNGAUUAGUUAGUUGGCGGGGUAAGGGCCCACAAGACGAUGAUCAGUAGGGGAACUGAGAGGUUGAUCCCCCANACU